This is a long non-coding RNA of Aegilops tauschii subsp. strangulata, 1839 nucleotides long. RefSeq lists it as uncharacterized. The record is from RefSeq and is a predicted model, not a curated record. NCBI's taxonomy places the organism in Eukaryota, Viridiplantae, Streptophyta, Magnoliopsida, Poales, Poaceae.
UACGAAAAAAAACCUACGAAAAUUAACCAGUCCCUCGCACGUACGAGCGAUUCCUCCUGCCCUCGAAGCACUCGCACGCACGAGUCGUUCGCCGCCGCCCCGUCUCUGAUCUCCCUGCCGCCGCCCCGUCUCCGAUCUCCCUGCCGCCGACCCUUGCCGCCGCCCCGUCUCCGAUCUCCCUUGGCCGCCGCCCUAGCACAUCAAGCCGCCGCCGAUCCAUGCGCUACCUCGUCGGGAGCCAUCGAUCUUCUUCAGGAGACGCCGCCGAUCCCAUUGAUGAGCCGCCGCCGACCAUGUCCCCUGAGCCGCUGGCGCUGGCCAGGCUCCAGACCGAUGGACACGCCAGCUCGCCGCUCCUCGGGGCCAGCCCCUCCCGCCGCGCCGGAUCACGCAUCGGCUUGGGGACCCCUCGGGGAUGCCGCCGGUGCAGGAGGCGUCCGCGACAGUGUGGGCUGGGGACCGAGCGGCUGGGCAUGCCGCGUCCAGGGCUUGGUCGGGCUGGCGUGAGCCGCCGUCGAUGAAAUUUUGGCUGAUUGGCUGCACGUCGCUUCGGAUUUGGUACUAUCCCCAUCUCUCUCUGAGACACACACACCACUUUCUCUCCGUCUCUCUCUCUCUCUCUCUCUCUCUCACAGUGUCUGCUUGUGCUGGCUGACGAAGGUGCAUGUGUGUGUGUGCGCGCACGCGUGUGAUGUGCCGCUGACCGCUUUUAUGUGUGCUUGUGGCGAUGCUGCCUGUGAGUGAUUUUUGCCGCUAUCCUGCAUGACUCUUGUGCCUCGAGGAUGAGAGGAAGCCACCCAGAAAAUGGCCAGAAGGAAGCACCAUAUGUGUAGGUGUGCUCAUGUGUGUUAGAAGUUAUAAGAUGAUGUAUACUCUGACAGUGCUUUGGCCACAUAAAAGGUAAAUCCAUCAUUGUGGAGAUGUCGAAGUCAUCACAAAAACAAGCAUCUGAACUUUCUUUUUGGGAUGAAACAAAUAUGCAGACUAACAGUAUCAUGUUUUUUUGACAUCAACCAAUAUCAUGGGUUGGUUCAGGACUUCAGGUAUAUAUCACCAGCAUAAAAAUCUAUUAACAUAGCAAUUGUUACUUUUUUUAGCUACUCUCAAAUGCUUCUCUAUUUUAAAUACCUAUUAAAUGUUGUCACAAUCACCCUAUUUCAACCGCACUGAGGGCUGUGGCAGGAAGGAGCCCACCAUCGGCAUCGCCCAUGGCCAAGCAGACCGAGGACCCAACGCCCUCAAGACAAGGACACGGCGGAUGAUUCCUCCUUGACUUUCUACCAGCUGCGCCCCUGACUGUGUCCACAGCGUCCCGACACCAUGUUCAAGACCAAGUUCUAACCCAGAUAUCCAAUCUCCCUCCAUGGAUCUUGCCUCUCAUUGACCAAGAGCAACAAUUCAACUCAAUUUCAGAUUUACAAAAGAGAUGGACCUAGAGCAAACAACCUAUGAGGCUUGGUUCGUGUACAUCGACAACGUUGUAUGGUGGUGAAGCUUCUUCACAUCCCCUGACCAGACGCUGCAUGCUCUGCUCGUUGAAGGUGCCCGCUGUUUGUGUUUGGAUGUUGUUGCUGGCGUAUGUCAAGUGUGCUACAUCUGGUCGCUCAAGGCCAAGGAGGUGAUGAAAGGCUUCUUCAUAAGUUUUUAGCUGUCUGAUUCAAGUCCAUAUAGCUUGCAAGAUGAUGGCGUAGUGUUAUCUGACAUUUUAUCUGUAUUUGAUUAAAUGUCUUUCCCUAGUGCAAUGGAAUAAAAUUUUAGAAACAACUGUUGGUUACUAUUAUUUGUGAAUUCUAUUUAACGCUUCACAAUUUUUGAAUAGUUUAGUUUGUGCUUGCUUAA